UACGUAGGGGGGCUAGCGUUGUCCGGAUUUAUUGGGCGUAAAGAGCGUGUAGGCGGCCAGGUAGGUCUGGUGUGAAAACUCGAGGCUUAACCUCGAGAUGUCAUCGGAAACCAUCUGGCUAGAGUCCGGAAGAGGAGAGUGGAAUUCCUGGUGUAGCGGUGAAAUGCGUAGAGAUCAUGAGGAAGACCAGUGGCGAAGGCGGGUCUCUGGACAGUUCCUGACACUGAGACACGAAGGCCAGGGGAGCAAACGGG
This 254-nucleotide ribosomal RNA is filed under the name uncultured bacterium. RNAcentral describes it as "partial 16S ribosomal RNA". It matches the Rfam family "Bacterial small subunit ribosomal RNA", at positions 524 to 776 of the family's 1533-position model. The record is from RNAcentral.